RNAcentral lists this ribosomal RNA (617 nucleotides) under uncultured bacterium. RNAcentral describes it as "bacterial SSU rRNA". It matches the Rfam family "Bacterial small subunit ribosomal RNA", at positions 338 to 943 of the family's 1533-position model. The record is from RNAcentral.
CCUACGGGAGGCAGCAGUGGGGAAUAUUGGACAAUGGGCGCAAGCCUGAUCCAGCCAUACCGCGUGUGUGAAGAAGGCCUUUUGGUUGUAAAGCACUUUAAGCGAGGAGGAGGGCACUUUGGCUAAUACCCGAAUGUGUCGGACGUUACUCGCAGAAUAAGCACCGGCUAACUCUGUGCCAGCAGCCGCGGUAAUACAGAGGGUGCGAGCGUUAAUCGGAAUUACUGGGCGUAAAGCGCGCGUAGGCGGCUUGUUAAGUCGGAUGUGAAAUCCCCGGGCUCAACCUGGGCACUGCAUUCGAUACUGGCAAGCUAGAGUAUGGGAGAGGAAGGUAGAAUUCCAGGUGUAGCGGUGAAAUGCGUAGAGAUCUGGAGGAAUACCGAUGGCGAAGGCAGCCUUCUGGCCUAAUACUGACGCUGAGGUGCGAAAGCAUGGGGAGCAAACAGGAUUAGAUACCCUGGUAGUCCAUGCCGUAAACGAUGUCAACUAGCCGUUGGGGACCUUGAGUCCUUAGUGCGCAGCUAACGCGAUAAGUUGACCCGCCUGGGGAGUCGGUCGCGAAGCUUAAAACCGNGAAAGAUUGACGCNGAGAGNGCGAGGACGACACGAGGGAGGAG